This 498-nucleotide ribosomal RNA is filed under the name uncultured bacterium. Its description in RNAcentral is "partial 16S ribosomal RNA". It matches the Rfam family "Bacterial small subunit ribosomal RNA", at positions 30 to 523 of the family's 1533-position model. The record is from RNAcentral.
AUCGAACGCCGGCGGCAUGCCUUACACAUGCAAGUCGAACGGUAACAGGUCUUCGGAUGCUGACGAGUGGCGAACGGGUGAGCAAUACAUCGGAACGUGCCUAGUAGUGGGGGAUAACUACUCGAAAGAGUGGCUAAUACCGCAUGAGAUCUACGGAUGAAAGUAGGGGAUCGCAAGACCUUGUGCUACUAGAGCGGCCGAUGGCAGAUUAGGUAGUUGGUGGGAUAAAAGCUUACCAAGCCGACGAUCUGUAGCUGGUCUGAGAGGACGAUCAGCCACACUGGGACUGAGACACGGCCCAGACUCCUACGGGAGGCAGCAGUGGGGAAUUUUUGACAAUGGGCGCAAGCCUGAUCCAGCAAUGCCGCGUGCAGGAUGAAGGCCUUCGGGUUGUAAACUGCUUUUGUACGGAACGAAAAGCCCUGGGUUAAUACCCUGGGGUCAUGACGGUACCGUAAGAAUAAGCACCGGCUAACUACGUGCCAGCCGCCGCGGUAA